Lycium ferocissimum is the source of this 485-nucleotide long non-coding RNA. RefSeq lists it as uncharacterized. The record is from RefSeq and is a predicted model, not a curated record. The transcript has 3 exons. NCBI's taxonomy places the organism in Eukaryota, Viridiplantae, Streptophyta, Magnoliopsida, Solanales, Solanaceae.
UAUGUCUCUAAUCAUGUUUCCUUCUUUUUUGUACAAUAAAGGCUUGCUUCUGCAAACAGUGAUUCUCUGUUAGUUAAGUCUUUGAUGUUUUAUUAUGUCUGAAUUUACAAACUUAGUAAAGAAGUAACUGCAUAAGGAAUAUAGUGGAGUGCUGUCUAAACUUAUAUUUAGAGAGCCAUACAACCGAGGAUUUCAUACUACAGAUAGUGAUUUAUAAAACAUACUAACUUUGAAAAAUAGGCUGAUUAUAGGAAUAUGUACGCCAUUUCUGAUAGACUGCAACUUUCCGUUUAUAAAAUGUUGGCUGCUUGCAUUUAUAUUCCAUACAACCAUUGUUUAAAAUCUGGUAGCUUUUGGAUAUUGUACUUGAUCUAUAUUUGGACAGAGAAUAUUCUUUAAAGCUGGAAGACAUGACAGUACUCUUAUGUAGCAUUUACUGCCUGAACAUUCUUUUUCACUCACUUGGGAUAACUAACCUACACCUC